GUGGGUGUAGCUCAGUUGGCUAGAGCACCUGACUGUGGCUCAGGUUGUCGGGGGUUCAAGUCCCCUCACCCACCCCA
This 77-nucleotide transfer RNA is filed under the name Candidatus Omnitrophota bacterium. Its description in RNAcentral is "tRNA-His". It matches the Rfam family "tRNA". Rfam says of the family: Transfer RNA (tRNA) molecules are approximately 80 nucleotides in length. Their secondary structure includes four short double-helical elements and three loops (D, anti-codon, and T loops). Lineage: Bacteria; Pseudomonadati; Candidatus Omnitrophota. The record is from RNAcentral.